This 395-nucleotide long non-coding RNA is filed under the name Lactuca sativa (garden lettuce). Its description in RNAcentral is "long non-coding RNA (LSAT_LNC008511)". Lineage: Eukaryota; Viridiplantae; Streptophyta; Magnoliopsida; Asterales; Asteraceae. The record is from RNAcentral.
GGAGGCACAGGUUUAGCAACGGCAGGGAUGGCGACGUAACCGUUCGAAUUAGAUCUAACGCCAUUUUCUUCGUCAUCGCUCUCCUCAUCAGAAUCCGCGCCAAAAUCAAAGCGUCUGGGGGCGAACAGGGACCAGAUUAAGUACAUGGUAGCGGCGGUGAGAGCACCACAUCCAACGCCGAAGAGUAACGCGCCGACGAUGCUCAUGAUGUCCAUGGUACGUUCACGAAUCGAUGCUUUAACAGAGGUAGACGUUGCGGAAUAAUACGGAACUGAAGAGACAACAUCAUCGGAUGAUGAUGAUUCGAUAGAGCGAUCAAAAACAGAUGCAGAGCGAGGAAGCGAUCUGGUGCGAUGGAAUUCGCGGAUUUCGGUGACGAAAAAGGUGAGACGUGG